CCCUGCCCUUUGUACACACCGCCCGUCGCUCCUACCGUUGGAUCUUAAGGUGAGCUUGGCAGAUGCACUGUGGUACUCGUACCAUAGGCAGAAACCAAACGAACCUUUUGGUCUGUAGGAAGGAGAAGUCGUAACAAGGUUUUCGUAGGU
RNAcentral lists this ribosomal RNA (150 nucleotides) under uncultured eukaryote. Its description in RNAcentral is "partial small subunit ribosomal RNA". It matches the Rfam family "Eukaryotic small subunit ribosomal RNA", at positions 1651 to 1810 of the family's 1831-position model. The record is from RNAcentral.